UUAUAAGUGCUUGAAAUCAUAGAUUGCUGUGUUCCAGAGCAUCAAGACUGUGAUCGAAGGGUGAAUUGUGACUGAAUUACUGAGCUACAAAUAAUAUUAAGUAGUUCUUUAUAAGUCAAGGUUACUCUACAUCACUCUCGACUCGCCUUAAAAGUCAUCUGCAAUGUGGAACGUGCCUCCAACAAUUCAUUGACACAGUUGUGACUGACUCCUUCAUAGCCGUCGGCCAGCUCUUUCACAUCCACCAUCUAAUUGAGGUGAAAGGACAGAAAUGUUGAAAGUGUGUUUUCUGCAGCACCAGUAACCUCAAGAUACUUCACUCACUACAGCUGCUUUUGAAGAACUUUCCAGGUGUUUGUGAUUUACAUUCCGACUUUUGAAAUGUCUCCUUGAUUGGACAUAUUUAGCUAAUAAAAAAGAACAAUAUAUAAAGCAUGCAUCUGUUUUAAGGUUAUUGUGUUUGUGUGUGUGGUGUAGUUCCUCUUGGUGUCCACUAGGUGGC
Non-coding RNA from Salmo salar (Atlantic salmon), 502 nucleotides. Lineage: Eukaryota; Metazoa; Chordata; Actinopteri; Salmoniformes; Salmonidae. The record is from RefSeq and is a predicted model, not a curated record.